GUUUCCAUUUGAGAAGGAUCAGGAGUCCUCGCCAGGACCAGCUGUCUCUCGGGUGUCGGAUUCCGUGACUGCCCGCAGCCUGGAGAGCGCCACCCCCCUUCUCCCCGUCCAGGGCGCGGAGAGCCGGGAGCACCCGGGUGCUGCGCCGGGACAAGCGGAGCCGCUGCCCCCUCGCGGCCAGUCCGAGCCUGCCCUCGGGGACCCGCUCCCACCUGCCUGUGCUGCUUCCGCGCCGAGCUAGAGACGGAACCCAGUCUCGGGAACUCCCGCGGGGACUGGGGACUCCCUCCUCCUCGCUCCGGGCUGGCAGGCGAGCCAGGUCCAGAGCUGUUUGCACAGCUGCCAUAGGAACCCCGAAG
Long non-coding RNA from Heterocephalus glaber (naked mole-rat), 359 nucleotides. NCBI's taxonomy places the organism in Eukaryota, Metazoa, Chordata, Mammalia, Rodentia, Bathyergidae. The record is from Ensembl.